Molecule: long non-coding RNA, 1138 nt
Filed under: Calidris pugnax (ruff)
Lineage: Eukaryota; Metazoa; Chordata; Aves; Charadriiformes; Scolopacidae
Description: lncRNA (ENSCPUG00000005082.1)
Source: RNAcentral
GUUCGCCUUGCCUGUGCGCUCCAUCCCGCUGCAGCCGCCUGAGCAGCCCCAGGAGGGGGAGGACACACCAGGAGGGAGGUUAGAUGCUCACCUUUGUGUUGAAUAUUUGUUUUUAUAAUAAUUGCCUGCUCUGAGCUUCUCUGUGCCCCCGGGUGCCAAACCCCAGGCAUCACCUUGUACCACUGCACAGGGAGGGACAAAUGGCCUCGGGAGGGGGAGAGGGCAGCGCUGGGACCUGCUCUCCUGCAGGAUGAGGGAUGGCAAAGAUAAAUAUAUAGAUAAAUAUAAAGAUAAAAAGGGGGAUGGACCCAGCUCCCCCCGCACACCCCAGCAGACUGCAGAAGUUAAACCUCCCCACAGCUGCAGGUACAUGGGUACAGCCUUGGAAUGCUUUCUGGCAAUUAAAAACUGCCUUUUCCUCUCUCCUGAAGGUCUGGGGCUCGAUCAUCCUUUACUGCCUAAUAAGGAGAGCUUUUAUAUUUUGGCAUUUCUUUUCCCCUGGUGUUAUCAGUGCUGAGGAGAAAAAGCCAAAGCAACACAGAAAAUCAGUGCAGCAGGAAGUUAUUGGGCCGGGAGCAGGGCAGGAGGUUUCCUGGCAGGCCCUGGGGAGUGUGGAGAAGAGCAUGUGGGAUUAUAUUGUGGCCCCACUGAGCUCCACGUCCUGUGAACAUCCCCGGGAUGGCCCAGCCAUGAAUAUGCGAUAUAUUCAGCAUCUGUGUUCAAAACUGAUACACUUUUCUAUCUUACAACUCCUCAUGUUUUUUUAUCGGCUGCAUCAGCCUUCUCCACGCGAGAACUGCUCCACUAUCAGCCAUACCAGUGUUACAGUAAAAGAUAUUAUAAAAGAUAUUAGAAUACACUCAAAGGUGUGUUUUGCUGCUCCUCUCCUCUUUGGGAACUCAGUUUUGGGUGGGUUGUUCAAACGCCAGCUCUCGGGUCCCCCAUCUCCACGCGGGGAGCACAAAGGGAGCCCCCUUUGAAGGAGGAGGGGGCUGUGCCCUGCCUGAGCCUGGAAUUCUCCCUGUAACUCUCCAAAACUUCUUUUCUCACCACCAGAGAAAAGUGCUCAGGGCAGCUAUUAAAGUGUAAUCAAUCAGUGUCAAAUAAAAGUCAUCAGAAUAUGACUAAGAGUCUGAUU